This 23-nucleotide small nuclear RNA is filed under the name Arabidopsis thaliana (thale cress). RNAcentral describes it as "snRNA_04505". The record is from RNAcentral. Lineage: Eukaryota; Viridiplantae; Streptophyta; Magnoliopsida; Brassicales; Brassicaceae.
UGAUUUUACACUCACCGUUAAUU